RNAcentral lists this long non-coding RNA (2018 nucleotides) under Equus caballus (horse). Its description in RNAcentral is "lncRNA (ENSECAG00000048980.1)". The record is from RNAcentral. Lineage: Eukaryota; Metazoa; Chordata; Mammalia; Perissodactyla; Equidae.
AACAGUCCAGAGUCCUAAUUCUCUCUGUUUACCGCCAGAGACCUCUCUGAGCUCUUCUUCUGCAUCUGGAAAAUCAAGUUUAACCCCAGCAUCUGCCAGAGGCUGUGCCAGUCAGUGGAGAGGAAGAAAAGACGUCGUCUCUGCCUUACAGCAGACGUACAGGAAUAACCACAUCCAGUGGGAGCAAGGCCAAAGCAGAAGCCUGCAGAGCGGACUGUGAGGACGAGCUGGAGGGGGAUGCAGACAAGCUUUUGGAGAGGCGGUCACCUAGAGCUGAGCCUUGGAAGGGGGAUGAGAGAAGCAGCAGAUUCCAGGCAAAAGCAACAACCAAUACUAGCAACAGGAAAAAACAGCUCAGUAUGGAAAAUAAUUGACAUGGCUAGACUUUGCGAUUCAUUCCAUGUGAUGGCUACUCAAUAAACUGCUGGUUAAUUGAUUACCUAGCUAAUCAAUCUGGAGGAAACAGGCUAUAAAAACAGACAAAAGUCAGUUCACGAAGGGGUUCAUAGGCCUACUCAAAGAAUUUAGAUUUUAUUCUCUAAACUAGGAGUUGAAAAUGCAAAUAUCUAUAGGGAUCUUAUAAGAAAUGUGAAUAAGUAAGGUGGGCCAGGUGUAAAAGAAAUAGUAAUUAUGAGGGUUAUACACGAAGUACCUCCUCCAGGUACCAUGUAUGGUACUGUCAACACAUAGAUGUCUAAUAUAUGAUCCUGGCCCUUAGACUGCACACAUAAGUAAGUACUCACAAUAUAACGUGAUGAUUGCCCCCAUUCAUGUACCAAAUACAGUGGGACCAUAGAGGAGGGCCUUACUUAAUUCAAUCUCAGGAAAUCAGGAAGGUGUUACUGAUGAAAUUAUAUUUGAGAUGGACUUGAGGGAUGAGAAGGAGCUCAUCUCUCUUUUCCAGCUACCCCUGAACUUCCUUCAAUCCAAUCAGGUUGGUUUCCCCACUGUCCCACAACACCCCACUCUCGGCUAUGUCCUCUCAAGUCUUUGACUUUGCCUAGUGUGCCCUGCCGCUCUCCCUUAAUUAUGCAAUUCCUACUAACUCUUAAAGGCACAAUGCAGGCCUUCCUCAUGCACAAAAUCCAUGAAGACUUCCCAGGUAUCAAAUCUUCAUUGGUCUAAGAGGCAAGACGCUAUUGGGAGGCUGGAAGACCUUUAGGACACAACAGAGUGCAGAGGCGCUCAGAGAAGGGUGUCUCAUUGUGUGUGGUGAGAAGCUUACUAGUUUGGGAGUCAAGGACUCACUGGCUCUCUGAUUACAGGCAGAUGUUUUAGCCUCUGUUUUCCUCAGUGUCUUAACUCUAAAGUGGAGGCUGAUCCUCAUGAUCAUUUUGGUCCCCUUCAGUUCUAAGAUUAUAACUGUGAUUUUGUGAAGGAAUUUGUUCUCAUUGUUAUACUUCCAGUAGGAUUUCCACACACACUUUCAAAAUUGUCCUUAUGUAACAUGACGAGUGGAAAACCACUAAUCAGUGGCAGCAGUAUUGAAGAGAGUCUUCUCUGUGCCGUUCCAAAUGCCAUCUACUUCCUCCCUGGAUUUAGGAAUUGCAUAGUCACACGUUCACUGAAAUAAAGUUGGCUGUCCUGUUGCCCUGUUACUACUUUGGUCACCUCCUGUUAUCCUAAGAAUAGAUCACUUAUGGUUCUUUCUUUGGACUCUUACAAUUUCACGGCGGUGAGAAAAUAGAGCACAGGUGGAAUACAAAUCCUGGAAUAUCAAGAUUACAGAAAAACUACCUAUGGAAAACAAGAUACAUGAGUUAAGGAAUCUAUGAAACUAUACCAAAAUAAUAAUUAGAAUGAGUUGUUUUUUAUUUUAUCUUAGUUAUUAUAAAUUAUUGAGAAAAAUCAUUUGCAUUUUAUCAGCUUUUAUUAUACAAAUUCAGUCUGCCUCAUGCCAACUCGCUGUAUUAGUUGUACUUUUGGUUAUAAGCAAAAGAACCAACUCUGGCCAGAUUUAAGAAAACGGCAAGUCUAUUGAAAGAACACUAGGGUAUCGCAUGAACCACAAGGAAAAG